GAGGUGUGGCCGCGCCCUAAAACUGGAGCAAGGCCGGUACCUAAAGGCUCCUGGGAGCCAAAAGAGCAAGUCAGGGAACUAGCUUUGGUUGGGUUCGGUGGUACACAAAGCACAAGGCCUGGGUUGGGGUUAGGAGGAAAUGAGACUUGCGGCGGGUCGGGGCUGAAGAUGUGGCAGCGCCCUGAACCUGGAGAAAGGCUGGUACGUAAACGCCUGCGUCGCAAUCUGGAGUCAGCUGGAGUGUCCCGGCAGACAGAAUCCCUUUGGUCAAGGAGAGGGAGAGAGAGGUAAGGGUCUGGUCUUACUUUUUAAGCAGGAAGAAGACUACAAACCACCAUCUACCAUCUGCCAGAUACCUGAAGAAGGUGAGAGGACUGGGACUGUGGGUGAGAGUCCUGUUUGGGAUUUGUUUAUCCAGGAGCUUUUUAUACUUGUUGAAAACCCCACCCAGGGGUUGUUAUCCUGAAUGAGAGGAGGGUAUCCUCUGCCACAGCUGAGAAUGCCCAUGGUAACUGGGGAAGGAGGAAGUCACUGUUGCCUCAAAUGUUCCAGCCGAGAAGUAGCAGCUUUGCCAUAUGCUGGGUGACUUUGUCUCAGGACAGUGUGGGGCCAAAGUGUUUAUUCUGCACCAGCAGCUAGCAGACUCAAGGGAAAAGUGCAAUGCUGAGAAGUGGGAACAUCUUGCUAAUUACAGUGAGAAAGGCAGAAAUAUGUGUUUGCGGGGAGGCAGCCGGGCCACUCACCUUCUAAGAAACAAAAUGUGCUAUGAAGCAGGAAGCACACACGGCAUCCUGUACUUUCAUAUGGCUGGAUGCAUCUCUUCAAGCUUAUCCCAAGUGCUGCCUCUCUAACCUCACCACACGAAUCACAGCAACAUUGCAGAUAAGGAAAUGGAGGUCAAGGGCUUGGCUCAAAGUCACCACAGCAGUUAGUGGGGGUCAAAGAUUGCAAUGAGCAUUUCUCUUCUUCCCGCCCCAGAUGAUUGGACUUAACAAGGCCAAGGAAAGCUUAAGUGGGUCCUGAUCCUUGGCUUUCCUUAAACCUCAGCAGGGUGGGAAUGAGUAAGAGGAGAAGUAUAGAGUGUGAGCUUCUAUCGCCCACUGCCUGCCUACCCAGGGACUGUAAGGUCUAGGUGGUGAGAUGAACUCAAAACUGACAACAAUUAAACACUUUUAUGAAAGCUACCUGAGAAGAAAUCUACUGACUUGGAAGUUACGUUCAAGGGAUCAUACAGGAAAGUCAUGGGCUCCUCAGCCAUCUCCAGACACCUAAAUAAAAAGCAAAUUUAAUAAAAGGGACUGAUCACUGGGAUACUC
Pan troglodytes (chimpanzee) is the source of this 1316-nucleotide long non-coding RNA. RefSeq lists it as uncharacterized. Lineage: Eukaryota; Metazoa; Chordata; Mammalia; Primates; Hominidae. The record is from RefSeq and is a predicted model, not a curated record. The transcript is spliced from 4 exons.